This 75-nucleotide non-coding RNA is filed under the name unclassified sequences. The record is from Rfam.
GAGAGUGAACUUAGAACUCUCAGCACAUUGUGUGUUAAUAGCGUUACUUUUGGCCGGGUUACGUGGUUAGAGAAU